CUCUGCUUCUGUCCUAGAGGUUCGAAACCUCUAAUUUUGUAUUUUUUCUUUAUGAUGAUUUUUCUUCGUUCUCUUGUACUUAAAAAUUAUAUAAUCAAUGAAAUCAGAUUCUUCUUUAUAGAGAGCUUCCUUUUUUUUCUUCUGCAUUCUUUCCCUUCUCUUUUGUCUUCUUGCACUAAUUUGAGUCGUGGCGCUCUUGUCUCCCAACGA
RNAcentral lists this long non-coding RNA (210 nucleotides) under Elaeis guineensis (African oil palm). RNAcentral's name for it is "long non-coding RNA (EGUI_LNC053752)". Lineage: Eukaryota; Viridiplantae; Streptophyta; Magnoliopsida; Arecales; Arecaceae. The record is from RNAcentral.